Cavia porcellus (domestic guinea pig) is the source of this 2357-nucleotide long non-coding RNA. RefSeq lists it as uncharacterized. The transcript is spliced from 5 exons. The record is from RefSeq and is a predicted model, not a curated record. NCBI's taxonomy places the organism in Eukaryota, Metazoa, Chordata, Mammalia, Rodentia, Caviidae.
UGCAAAGGGCCACAGGAACAGAGGAAAAAAAACCACGAUCCCUAUGGAGAGAGCAGGAGGGGAUACUACUUUAUUAAAGCCAGCCUUUCCAUGCAGGGGAAUGCUUCUCCUUCGCCACGCCACCCUGUCUUGGAGCCAGCCGACUAUGGACUGAAACUCCUACCCACUUGCAUGCUACAAGGGCAGAGAGACAGAACGCAGUUUCUUAAUCUUCUCCGCAGACGUCCUGGAAGACCUGACAAUGCCCACACUGCAGAACUUGGAGGAAAAGUUUCCCAGCAGGGAUCGAACUCACGACCGCCUGCUUGCAAGGCAGGUACUUAUGCCGCUGAGCUAAAUCCCCAGCCCCUUAAUGGCCAUUCUGACUUUGAGGAAGACCCAGAAGUUGCCUGAUGCCCAACCUGAAAAGUGUACAAAAUUAGUCAUUGUGAAUUUGUGGUCACCAGCACAGCCUGAACUGCAUAGCAAAAUCCUUUAUCAAAAGAAAAUGAGAAGAGAAGAGAAGAGAAGAGAAGAGAAGAGAAGAGAAGAGAAGAGAAGAGAAGGCUACACUUAUAAGUCCCACAGGUCAGGGAGUGGAUGUAUUUAUAUAGGUAAGGGAGUGUGCAAUUCAAUCCAUCACACCAGGGAGAAGGACUUGUAUAUUUAAAAGCAAAUAUGUAGUUAAAAGAAUGCGUAUAUCAACAGAAUGAAAGAACAUUUUGUUGAAAAACAGGUAAUAAUUCAGUUGAUCUGGUAGGUAAUGUUGUCACACUGCCAGCUAUGUUAACAAAUAAAAUUAUGGGAUAAGCCUCAUAUGACUUUUCAAAAAUAUAGGGCCUGUAAAGAAAGUUGAAGUUCUGGAAUCCAUUUGAUACUUGGAUGAUCAGUUAAGAGUAAUCCCAAUUACCUUAUAAUUCAGAUAUUUCACUCUUUAUGAAAGUGCAGUAAACAUAUAGGUAAAUUUUAAUCCAACUUCAUUUUUUAUAUUUUACUUAUUAAUCCUAAAAGAGUUAUUUUUCAAUGUCCUUGAAUCUUUUGUGGUGGAAUUGUACCGUAUUUCUAAAGCUGAUGCUUAAAAUUUUCCAUGACACCUCUGUGAGAAAGAAAAACCAUAAGUCAUAGUGCAACAGUGUCUCUGGGUGUGUAGACCAAUCAAACCUGGUAUAGUUAAUGUGCUUUAUAGUCUAUUUUGAUUCAGAAAAAAAUCCUGUCGAAGUAAACCAAACUCUUAGCAUACAUUUUAUUUAGCAUUAAUAUAGAAUACUUUCCUCCAUCAGAACGAUACCACUGAGUUAUAGCUAACAGCAUCGUUAAGCACAAAUAAUGAGGAGAUCUGUAUUAAUCUCUGAAAUGUGACUUUUCUAUUUGCUUACCUGAUAAGACAAUACUGAGAUUACAGUUUAUUCCAGUAACAAGUCUGCCUUCAGGUAGGUUUAUAAUCAUUGCCAAGCAUUACCAAGAACUUCAUUCAAAAGUUCUCAGUGCUGAAAUAUUGGCGAUGUUAAUAAACAUACUUUAGGAACUUUUCUGAUCAAUUGUCUUGUUUUGUGCUUUUUAUUAGUUUCUAUCAUUUUCACUGUUCUUUAUUACCUUGGAAGAUAAUUUUUUGAAUAAUGGCAUCCCUAUGAAGAAAAUAGGUUAGUUACCCAAAUCCUGAAAAUUUGAUGCUGAUAAAAUAAUUGUAGAGUCAGAACAAAGUUAACUUAAACAUAGACUGAGCACCUUUCUUCUUCAAAACAAAAUGGAAAUAAAAUAUUGAAACAUAAAACUGACCUUUAUAGAAAGUAAGUCUUAAUUUCUAGAAAGAUAAUUCAUCAGAAACAGAAAUCCAUAAUUUUAUAAGAAUUGCUUUUAAAUGUGCAUUUGUCCAACUGUGAAACACACACAUUGACGAACUGAUGAGACACAUAAUAAGUUUUAAUAAUUUAAUUAGGAAACUAUGCCAAAUAACAAUUUAAAAAUUAGAAGCAGAGUCAAUAAAUUAACUCAUUUGUUCAUCUACAAAGGCUUAUAGAUAAAAGAGCUAAAAUACAGCUUACUGUAAAGAAGCAAAUGAGAUAUAUCUUACUGCUAAAAUGAAACCUGACAAAAAAGGCUUUUUGGAUAAUAGGAUUGUUUCUUGAAGUGGUAUUUGAAUAUGCUUAAGCAAAUCGCCAUGCCUUGUGAUGAAUGUGAGGUUGGAUGGAAUAAUUUACUGAAUAGCGUGUUGCAAAAACAAUUUGUAAAUCAUGUUCAUGUUAGAUUUAUUUUUUCCAUUAAAAUAUAAAAUGCUUCUCAGCAAUUUUUAUUCUUCAUGAGAAUUAUAAUGUAUUGUGCUUUGUUGCAUUUUUUAUAUUUAACUUGAAUCUUAUUUGCCUGUUGUAUUUGACCUUGAA